Molecule: ribosomal RNA, 481 nt
Filed under: Alternaria malorum
Lineage: Eukaryota; Fungi; Ascomycota; Dothideomycetes; Pleosporales; Pleosporaceae
Description: eukaryotic LSU rRNA
Rfam family: 5.8S ribosomal RNA (bases 120-273)
Source: RNAcentral
UGAAUUAUUCACCCGUGUCUUUUGCGUACUUCUUGUUUCCUGGGCGGGCUCGCCCGCCACCAGGACCCCCCAUAAACCUUUUGCAAUGGCAAUCAGCGUCAGUAAAACAUAAUCAUUACAACUUUCAACAACGGAUCUCUUGGUUCUGGCAUCGAUGAAGAACGCAGCGAAAUGCGAUAAGUAGUGUGAAUUGCAGAAUUCAGUGAAUCAUCGAAUCUUUGAACGCACAUUGCGCCCUUUGGUAUUCCAAAGGGCAUGCCUGUUCGAGCGUCAUUUGUACCCUCAAGCUUUGCUUGGUGUUGGGCGUCUUUGUCUCCGGCUUGCCUGGAGACUCGCCUUAAAGUGAUUGGCAGCCGGCCUACUGGUUUCGGAGCGCAGCACAAGUCGCGCUCUCUUCCAGCCAAGGUCAGCGUCCACCAAGCCACCUUUUUUACCUUUGACCUCGGAUCAGGUAGGGAUACCCGCUGAACUUAAGCAUAUC